AGAUUGAACGCUAGCGGGAUGCUUUACACAUGCAAGUCGAACGGCAGCGCGGACUUCGGUCUGGCGGCGAGUGGCGAACGGGUGAGUAAUAUAUCGGAACGUGCCCAGUAGCGGGGGAUAACUACGCGAAAGCGUGGCUAAUACCGCAUACGCCCUACGGGGGAAAGGGGGGGAUCGCAAGACCUCUCACUAUUGGAGCGGCCGAUAUCAGAUUAGCUAGUUGGUGAGGUAAAGGCUCACCAAGGCGACGAUCUGUAGCUGGUUUGAGAGGACGACCAGCCACACUGGGACUGAGACACGGCCCAGACCUCCUACGGGAGGCAGCAGUGGGGAAUUUUGGACUAAGUGGGGG
Molecule: ribosomal RNA, 352 nt
Filed under: uncultured soil bacterium
Lineage: Bacteria
Description: bacterial SSU rRNA
Rfam family: Bacterial small subunit ribosomal RNA
Source: RNAcentral